RNAcentral lists this ribosomal RNA (407 nucleotides) under uncultured bacterium. Its description in RNAcentral is "partial 16S ribosomal RNA". It matches the Rfam family "Bacterial small subunit ribosomal RNA", at positions 30 to 526 of the family's 1533-position model. The record is from RNAcentral.
AUUGAACGCUGGCGGCAGGCCUAACAACUGCAAGUCGAGCGGAGCGGCGGACGGGUGAGUAAUGCCUAGGAAUCUGCCUGGUAGUGGGGGAUAACGUCAGGAAACGGGCGCUAAUACCGCAUACUAGCAGAUGAGCCUAGGUCGGAUUAGCUAGUUGGUGGGGUAAAGGCCUACCAAGGCGACGAUCCGUAACUGGUCGGAGAGGAGGAUCAGUAACACUGAACAUGAGACACGGUACAGACUCAUACGGUAGGCAGCAGUGGGGAAUAUUGGACAAUGGGCGAAAGCCUGCUCCAGCCAUGCCGCGUGUGUGAAGAAGGUCUUCGGAUUGUAAAGCACUUUAAGUUGGGAGGCGUUACCAACAGAAUAAGCACCGGCUAACUUCGUGCCAGCAGCCGCGGUAAUUC